RNAcentral lists this ribosomal RNA (761 nucleotides) under uncultured bacterium. Its description in RNAcentral is "bacterial SSU rRNA". It matches the Rfam family "Bacterial small subunit ribosomal RNA", at positions 105 to 882 of the family's 1533-position model. The record is from RNAcentral.
GGUGAGUAACGCGUGAGGAACCUGCCUCAAAGAGGGGGACAACAGUUGGAAACGACUGCUAAUACCGCAUAGGCCCACGACCCGGCAUCGGGAAGAGGGAAAAGGAGCAAUCCGCUUUGAGGUGGCCUCGCGUCCGAUUAGCUAGUUGGUGAGGUAACGGCCCACCAAGGCGACGAUCGGUAGCCGGACUGAGAGGUUGAACGGCCACAUUGGGACUGAGACACGGCCCAGACUCCUACGGGAGGCAGCAGUGGGGAAUAUUGCACAAUGGGGGAAACCCUGAUGCAGCGACGCCGCGUGGAGGAAGAAGGUCUUCGGAUUGUAAACUCCUGUUGUUGAGGAAGAUAAUGACGGUACUCAACAAGGAAGUGACGGCUAACUACGUGCCAGCAGCCGCGGUAAAACGUAGGUCACAAGCGUUGUCCGGAAUUACUGGGUGUAAAGGGAGCGCAGGCGGGCGAUCAAGUUGGAAGUGAAAUCCAUGGGCUCAACCCAUGAACUGCUUUCAAAACUGGUCGUCUUGAGUAGUGCAGAGGUAGGCGGAAUUCCCGGUGUAGCGGUGGAAUGCGUAGAUAUCGGGAGGAACACCAGUGGCGAAGGCGGCCUACUGGGCACCAACUGACGCUGAGGCUCGAAAGUGUGGGUAGCAAACAGGAUUAGAUACCCUGGUAGUCCACACCGUAAACGAUGAUUACUAGGUGUUGGGAGAUUGACCCUCUCAGUGCCGCAGUUAACACAAUAAGUAAUCCACCUGGGGAGUA